RNAcentral lists this transfer RNA (77 nucleotides) under Candidatus Omnitrophota bacterium. Its description in RNAcentral is "Candidatus Omnitrophica bacterium (aquatic metagenome) tRNA-Ile". It matches the Rfam family "tRNA". From Rfam's summary of the family: Transfer RNA (tRNA) molecules are approximately 80 nucleotides in length. Their secondary structure includes four short double-helical elements and three loops (D, anti-codon, and T loops). Lineage: Bacteria; Pseudomonadati; Candidatus Omnitrophota. The record is from RNAcentral.
GGGGCCAUAGCUCAAUUGGUUAGAGCAUCUGACUCAUAAUCAGGUGGUUCAAGGUUCAAGUCCUUGUGGCCCCACCA